GCAUUAAUGGGGUAGUGGUAACCUGGGUCGUUGCCAUCUGAUGUGCGUAACAGUCAAUAUCUAUACGCUCGACCCGCCGGGGGUUCGAUUCCCUCUUAAUGCA
Marasmius sp. AFHP31 is the source of this 103-nucleotide non-coding RNA. Lineage: Eukaryota; Fungi; Basidiomycota; Agaricomycetes; Agaricales; Marasmiaceae. The record is from the annotation of a GenBank genome assembly.